UAGGUAACGGCGAGUGAAGUGGGAAAAGCUCAACUUUGAAAUCUGGCAGCUUCGCUGUCCGAGUUGUAGUCUCGAGAAGUGUUUUCCGCGCUGGACCAUGUAUGAGUCUGUUGGAAUACAGCGUCAUAGAGGGUGAGAACCCCGUUCAUGACAUGCCUUCCAGUGCUUUGUGAUACACUUUCGAUGAGUCGAGUUGUUUGGGAAUGCAGCUCAAAAUGGGUGGUAAAUUCCAUCUAAAGCUAAAUAUUGGGGAGAGACCGAUAGCAAACAAGUACCGUGAGGGAAAGAUGAAAAGCACUUUGGAAAGAGAGUUAACAGUACGUGAAAUUGUCGAAAGGGAAACGCUUGAAGUCAGACGUGCGUAGUGCCUUCGGGUGCUGUUGCAGGCCAGCAUCAGUUUUUCGAGCCGGAUAAAGGUGGGAGAAAGGUAGCAGUCUCGGCUGUGUUAUAGCCUCCCACUGAAUACGGAUUGUGAGACUGAGGAAUGCGAUUCUAGGAUGCUGGUGAAAUGGCUUUAAACGACCCGUCUUGAAACACGGACCA
Molecule: ribosomal RNA, 543 nt
Filed under: Sakaguchia oryzae
Lineage: Eukaryota; Fungi; Basidiomycota; Cystobasidiomycetes; Sakaguchiales; Sakaguchiaceae
Description: partial large subunit ribosomal RNA
Rfam family: Eukaryotic large subunit ribosomal RNA
Source: RNAcentral